Molecule: ribosomal RNA, 453 nt
Filed under: Triticum aestivum (bread wheat)
Lineage: Eukaryota; Viridiplantae; Streptophyta; Magnoliopsida; Poales; Poaceae
Description: partial small subunit ribosomal RNA
Source: RNAcentral
AUGCACAAGUUCGACCUGGACAAGCCGCCGGUGCUACAGGAGGUGGCGGAUUUCUUCAGUGGCCACGGAAUCGAGGACUUCACCUUCAGCAAGGGCAGGCUGUCAGAAUGGCGUUGCCAGGCAAAGCUAGCGGUACGCAGAAGACCAGAGAAACCACUGAUUGGCCUGUAUCAGGAAGGGACACAUACUGUUCAACAUAUUCUCGAUUGUAGAGGUAGGACAGGAGGAACAGCGACAACCGACGGGAUGAAGCCUGGCCAUGGAAACCCACUACAGCCUUCAAGACCUCGACGGCGGUCGGUGCUAUGGUAUGAAUCCUUCCUCCACUUCAAGACCUCUACGUACGGCGGGGAUCCUGAUCAACAUGCAGUUCCCGGGGCCGCAGAUCGACGCUGUCACCAACGACAACAUCGUCAUCAACGUCUUCAACAACCUGAUCUGAUAUUGUUCUGA